UGAAAGACGGUCUUGCUGUCACUUAUAGAUGGAUCCGCGCUGCAUUAGCUAGUUGGUAAGGUAACGGCUUACCAAGGCAACGAUGCAUAGCCGACCUGAGAGGGUGAUCGGCCACACUGGAACUGAGACACGGUCCAGACUCCUACGGGAGGCAGCAGUAGGGAAUCUUCCGCAAUGGGCGAAAGCCUGACGGAGCAACGCCGCGUGAGUGAUGAAGGUCUUCGGAUCGUAAAACUCUGUUAUUAGGGAAGAACAUAUGUGUAAGUAACUGUGCACAUCUUGACGGUACCUAAUCAGAAAGCCACGGCUAACUACGUGCCAGCAGCCGCGGUAAUACGUAGGUGGCAAGCGUUAUCCGGAAUUAUUGGGCGUAAAGCGCGCGUAGGCGGUUUUUUAAGUCUGAUGUGAAAGCCCACGGCUCAACCGUGGAGGGUCAUUGGAAACUGGAAAACUUGAGUGCAGAAGAGGAAAGUGGAAUUCCAUGUGUAGCGGUGAAAUGCGCAGAGAUAUGGAGGAACACCAGUGGCGAAGGCGACUUUCUGGUCUGUAACUGACGCUGAUGUGCGAAAGCGUGGGGAUCAAACAGGAUUAGAUACCCUGGUAGUCCACGCCGUAAA
RNAcentral lists this ribosomal RNA (617 nucleotides) under Staphylococcus aureus. RNAcentral's name for it is "bacterial SSU rRNA". It matches the Rfam family "Bacterial small subunit ribosomal RNA", at positions 201 to 806 of the family's 1533-position model. Lineage: Bacteria; Bacillati; Bacillota; Bacilli; Caryophanales; Staphylococcaceae. The record is from RNAcentral.